UCCUCCCUCUGGCGGCGUGCUUAACACAUGCAAGUCGAACGGAAAGGCCCUGCUUUUGUGGGGUGCUCGAGUGGCGAACGGGUGAGUAACACGUGAUUAACCUGCCCUUGACUUUGGGAUAACUUCAGGAAACUGGGGCUAAUACCGGAUAGGAGCUCCUGCUGCAUGGUGGUGGUUGUAAAGUUUCGGCGGUUGGGGAUGGACUCUCGGCUUAUCAGCUUGUUGGUGGGGUAGUGGCUUACCAAGGCUUUGACGGGUAGCCGGCCUGAGAGGGUGACCGGCCACAUUGGGACUGCGAUACGGCCCAGACUCCUACGGGAGGCAGCAGUGGGGAAUAUUGCACAAUGGGCGGAAGCCAGAUGCAGCAACGCCGCGUGCGGGAUGACGGCCUUCGGGUUGUAAACCUCUUUCGCCUGUGACGAAGAGUGAGUGACGGUAAUGGGUAAAGAAGCACCGGCUAACUACGUG
This 468-nucleotide ribosomal RNA is filed under the name uncultured bacterium. RNAcentral describes it as "partial 16S ribosomal RNA". It matches the Rfam family "Bacterial small subunit ribosomal RNA", at positions 36 to 507 of the family's 1533-position model. The record is from RNAcentral.